Molecule: ribosomal RNA, 467 nt
Filed under: uncultured bacterium
Lineage: Bacteria
Description: bacterial SSU rRNA
Rfam family: Bacterial small subunit ribosomal RNA
Source: RNAcentral
UAAGGAAUAUUGGUCAAUGCCCGGAAGGGUGAACCAGCCAUCCCGCGUGAAGGAUGAAGGGGCUCUGCCUUGUAAACUUCUUUUGAAUGGGACGAAAAAGCCUCACUUGUGAGGAACUGACGGUACCAUUAGAAUAAGCACCGGCUAACUCCGUGCCAGCAGCCGCGGUAAUACGGAGGGUGCGAGCGUUAUCCGGAAUCACUGGGUUUAAAGGGUGCGUAGGCGGCUGUAUAAGUCAGUGGUGAAAGGCUGUGGCUUAACCAUGGGAUUGCCAUUGAUACUGUACGGCUUGAAUUAGGAUGAGGUUGGCGGAAUGUGACAUGUAGCGGUGAAAUGCUUAGAUAUGUCAUGGAACAUCGAUUGCGAAGGCAGUUGACUGGACCUUAAUUGACGCUGAGGCACGAAAGCGUGGGGAGCGAACAGGAUUAGAUACCCCCGUAGUCCCUGAGCGGGCUGGCAAGGCGCAU